GGCUCUGGCAUCGAUGAAGAACGCAGCGAAAUGCGAUAAGUAAUGUGAAUUGCAGAAUUCAGUGAAUCAUCGAAUCUUUGAACGCACAUUGCGCCCGCCAGUACUCUGGCGGGCAUGCCUGUCCGAGCGUCAUUUCAACCCUCAGUUCCCCCCUUCCGGGGGGUGAGCUGGUGUU
Molecule: ribosomal RNA, 175 nt
Filed under: Acremonium sp. KUC21262
Lineage: Eukaryota; Fungi; Ascomycota; Sordariomycetes; Hypocreales; Bionectriaceae
Description: 5.8S ribosomal RNA
Rfam family: 5.8S ribosomal RNA (bases 1-132)
About the family: 5.8S ribosomal RNA (5.8S rRNA) is a component of the large subunit of the eukaryotic ribosome. It is transcribed by RNA polymerase I as part of the 45S precursor that also contains 18S and 28S rRNA.
Source: RNAcentral